AGAAGGCGGAGGCGACUAGGGUGUUGGUGGAACCACACAUGCGCCCUCGGCUUCUGGCAGUCUUACCAGCUGCGUUCUCGAGGUUACGGGAAGGAAGGGCGAGUGUGCGCAUGCGUGGGCACUCCCUGCCACUGACUUCGGUUACCUUGGAGACAGCGAGGCGCUCUCCCUCGUGGGUCGCGCGCGUUCCGCUUCCUCUCUGCUGCCAAGCGGUGGCGGCUGAGGCGGGAGGUGGUGGGGGUAGAGACGUUUUUAUUGAGCUCUUACCGUGUGCCUGGUCCUGUAGAAUCCCUGGAAUGAGUAAAGAAGGUUACAGUGCCUGCCCUCGAGAAGCUUGGGGAGCCAAGGGCUUACAGGGGCCCGACCUGUGGGUUGAAACCCAGGUACAAAGAGAGCAUGUGGGUGCGUGGCGUGGUACGAGCGCUGAGCAAAGCAUCUGCUCUCUGGGUUUGCAGACCACAGAGCCAGCAAGAGGAUGAGAGCUUGAUGUAUGCAAAGAAAGGACCUGGAGUUCAGAAUAUGCAUUGAAGUGUCAACAGUGCUUCUUUCUGAAUGGGGGUCGGGGGUGGGGAGUAGGGAAGGUAUAGAAACUUUUUCUAACUUUUGCCCCUCUGUAUUAUCUAGUGUUUCCACACUGAGCUUGUA
Molecule: long non-coding RNA, 645 nt
Filed under: Homo sapiens (human)
Lineage: Eukaryota; Metazoa; Chordata; Mammalia; Primates; Hominidae
Description: non-protein coding lnc-FMNL1-5:1
Source: RNAcentral